RNAcentral lists this non-coding RNA (150 nucleotides) under Candidatus Zhuqueibacterota. RNAcentral describes it as "Candidate division GlcN6P sequence". It matches the Rfam family "glmS glucosamine-6-phosphate activated ribozyme aptamer". Rfam says of the family: This entry contains a glucosamine-6-phosphate activated ribozyme that is found in the mRNA for GlmS. GlmS is an enzyme that uses fructose-6-phosphate and glutamine to generate glucosamine-6-phosphate. The ribozyme catalyses self cleavage of the glmS mRNA that is thought to regulate GlmS activity. Lineage: Bacteria; Pseudomonadati. The record is from RNAcentral.
CUUAAUUUAAAAGCGACUGGGCAUAUAUUGCUACGAGGAAGGAGUAAUUCGGAUAAUCAGCGGGUACUCCUAGGUUCCGUUAUGAACCUUAAGAUUAAUCAAUGUGUGGGGUAUUUGGAUACACCGGCAAACAGAUUGCCAAUGACUUAG